This 324-nucleotide ribosomal RNA is filed under the name uncultured eukaryote. Its description in RNAcentral is "partial 18S ribosomal RNA". It matches the Rfam family "Eukaryotic small subunit ribosomal RNA", at positions 1470 to 1796 of the family's 1831-position model. The record is from RNAcentral.
CCCUUAGAUGUUCUGGGCCGCACGCGCGCUACACUGAUGCAUUCAACGAGUUUCUUCCUGGUCCGAGAGGAAUGGGUAACCUUUUGAAACUGCAUCGUGAUAGGGAUAGACUAUUGCAAUUAUUGGUCUUCAACGAGGAAUUCCUAGUAGACGUAGUUCAUCAGACUGCAUCGAUUACGUCCCUGCCCUUUGUACACACCGCCCGUCGCUCCUACCGAUUGAAUGCUCAGGUGAGCCAUUCGGACUUUCAUCAUGCUGGUUUCCAGUUUUGAUGAAGGAAAGUCUUGCGAACCUUAUCAUUUAGAGGAAGGAGAAGUCGUAACA